CCACCGCUCACACUAGCCAUAGCUAGCCAUAGCAGCUCCAGUUGAAGCGGCGAAAGACUAGUCUCCAUCUCCUCCCUCCACCCUCUCUCUAACCUUGUGCCUGGGAACCGAACAGCCCCGUAGAUUUUUCUGAAGCAUCCCACCUGACAUCCACGGUUGGAGGGGAUUUCUUCUCCUUUCAGCCUCCUCAUCUCAGGUGAUACCUCCCGCCUGCUAGUCUCCUGAUCUGCAAUAAUACAUCUGAACUAUUUCUUGAUUCUUGGGUGGCGAUUUUUUCCUCUUUGUAUCUGUUAUUGGUCUCUGAAUCCGGAUGUAUUCUUGCUUCUUUCUGGUUGCCUCGUAUUCUCUGAUUUUGUUUUCGUUUUCCCUUCCAGCUAAAAGAAAUCUUGGAUCUUGCUUUUCUAUUCUGUCCAUCGUCAUUCGCUCAUGUAAUAUCAUAUCCUUCAGGCUCCAAGAAGCCGCCAUCAACAUGCGGAAACUUGGGUCCGGCUAGCUUGGUCCUGGCCGGCGGUGACAACGAGAGAGAGCACGCCGGUGCGGCCGUCACGGUGAGGUGGCCCGUGGCGGCGUACUUGCGUGCUCCCUCCCGUUGUCACCGACUCACUGUCACACAUUACAGUAUACUUAUUAAUUAGCUUCUAUAUGCUUCGUCAUCACUUUUCCCUAUCACAAAUGUUCCUCCUUAAGUUAGGACCUCAAAUUUUCAGUGGAAACUGCAGUUAAUUACAGAUACUAGAUGAUGCAUUCCUCAAUAGUAGUAAUGCAGCAUUAUGCAUAAAUCGACCUCGCUAGACGAACAAUGCUUAUUAAAAAUUCUACUAUUGCGUGUGUGAAUGUGCGCAUUUGUGCUAGUCAUGCACUGAGAACAACAAAUUGUGUAAUUUGAUUUCUGGUUUAGAUGCUUGCUUUGUUCGUCUACAGCAGGAUUAGAGUGCUUGUACCAAUUUAGUAGGUUCUUUCAUUGCACACUCUAGUUUUGGUAGAUUAUUGCUUGUCAGAUGAUUUUGGAAUAAUUUCAAUCUGAAGAGAAUAUAAUUGGUACCUGUACUAUGUCUUCAAUCAAAUUAGGAGUAGGCUAUAUAUAUACACAAUCCGUUAGUUGAUACCUCCGUUUACAAUUAUAGAUAUUAGUUCUAGUAUUUGAUAAAUGUCAGGACCACAUGAAAUUAAGAUACAUCUGCACUUCAAAUUACUCCACUCUGCUAUUUUGCUAAAUAACUGCGCGCAUGCUCCAUCAAAUUCUAUCACUAACUAGUUCUUGAAAUGCAAUGUACCAGUAUUUUGUAUUUGCUGCUUCUUUUACCAUUCUUGAUAAAACUUUUUGUAUUACAGUUUGUUUUGCUCAUUUAUAUUGUAUUGUCACAGUUUGAAAUGCAUCGAUACAGAAUCUGUUACCUCCGUUAAAUUUUUCUUGUGGUUUUGGACAUAAAGACUGUUGCGAAAAAAUAAACAUAUUUAGUUAGUCGAUGGUAUACAAGUUGAGCCUCAACUAAACUCUAAGAGGUAGCCAAGUUGAGCCUCAACUAGACUAUAAAUGACAGCCUCUCUUGAUGGCAAAAAGAAUAGUUAGAUGAUGGUAGUCCAUUGCUGCUUAGUUAAUUAUUGUGAUCAGUGUUUCAAAUCGCUAGGCACUAAUUUGGGGAUGGGGGUUGACUGGGCAAUGCCUAGGCGGCCAAGCUAAAACUAGAAAGUAACUAGGCAAUGGAAGGAAUGGAAAGGCUUGUCCAAUCGAUGGAAGGGGAGGAAGAGGAGGGCAUCCUAAACAUUGUCAGCAGUGGUCGCUGGCCCCUGCCUUUGCUUUUGGAAAGGCAGGCGUUGUUGUGAAUGUUGACAGAGGUGGUGGGAGGGAGAUGAUGGACAAAGUCACAACGGGAUUUGUGAUCCAAUAUUCUAACCCUUAAUAAUGUAAUGAUGCUGUACUUGAGUUUUGUUCUGCCAAUAAAGAAACAAGCAAGAAGAAACCAUGAAAUCUUUAUCGCACUAGCAUGAAGUUAGUUUUGAUUAUAGGCUAACUGAUUUUUGCUGUAUUGAUGUGCAUACUAAACAGUAUGGUAUAAUCUUCACACUUGUGACUUGUGGCUAUUUAACAGUCCUUUGGACUAAGGGGAUAAGGACAAGUAAACAUAGAUGUAUAUAGGAAUUGAUUCCAUACAUAGGAAUAAGGUUGUCUGAUCAUGCAAUAUUAUUGGCCCCGGUGGCCAACAUACAGUUGACUGAUCAUGCAAUGCCUAAGGUUGACUAACAUCUAUAUUAAGGGCAUCAAAUUGUUCGAGUUUAUAUUGACUGAUCAUAGAAUAGAUAUUGGAUUUUUUUAAAGGAAGAAUAAAUAGCAUGUGCAAAUAUAAAAUUUAUUGAAUCGAUGGAAAGAGUCAAAUGGGAACUGCCUUACUCUAGGAAGCUGAGAUCUAGAGAUAUUGGGCAUUACGUAAGUAUCUAAAGAAACUGACCAAUCCAGUGUUGUGUUUUAGUUUUAGUAAGUGCUGGUUCUGUCGUUUUCCCUUACCAAUGAAGCAGUUGUUUCCUUUUCUCAAUUUAUAUUCCAGCUAUGUUUGCAUCAUGCCUACAUUCAAGUGGUUUUCAAGAUCUUCCCUUUCUUUUGUAUGACUCUGCUUUCCUGUGAGUUGAGUUAUUACCACCUUUUAUCAUGUGUAUAAAUCUCUUUCAUACUGUUUUUUUCUUGACAGUGACAUCCAUAUGGUUAUUACCAUGCAUUGUCAUUGUUACAUUCCACUCUUUUCUUGCAUUCUCUUUAUUUCACCCUUGCUUCCUAUUAUGUUGCUGCUGGCAAAAACAAACUGAGUAGCAUUCAUUAGAAAAAGGCAUCGGGGCGCUAGACUAGUUUCAAAUUUUCCGUUUUUACAUUAUUUUCAAUUAAACCACAUGGUCUCAGUUUGAUUUUUUUAUUUUGCACGAGAUGCUUCCUCUCAUUCUUUUUUCUUCUCAUGUUUUUAAAUUUUAUCAUUUUUCUUGGAUAUUGGUCAAAUUAUUUACUAUUUUUAAUUUAUACAUCAGUUGCAAUUGUUUUUGUGUGAACAUGGUGCGAUAGUAGAUAAUUUGAUAUAAGCAAUGGCUGGACAGAAAAAAUUCCAAAAUGAAGAAUCCCACACGACCGCUGUGAUUUUUGUUGUAUUCUUGAUCCUACCAUGUACCAUAGCCUGAUUAUUAUUGCCUAACAUUUUGUUCUGUUCCAAUUUUAGCAAUGUUAAUUGUGUAUAUUGGCAAUGCCAUUGCUAUUGGCAAGUGCAUUGUAAGCUUGUUAGAACGCAAAGAUGCUUGUUAUAGAAUGCAAAGAUACGUAGUUCUCCUGUGCAGUCUAAAAAAGACAAUGCCAUUGUAUUCUUUUACUUGAAAAGGCAUUGUUUAGCAUGCCUCUGUUUAGUCUAGUGGAUUAUGGCGAUGUUUUUCAGUAACAAUCUUACCCUCCCAAGAUAAUUUUGCAUGUUUAAUCAUGUAAUUUUGUAUCUUUACUUUUUCCUUAAAAUUUCCAUCUUUCUGCAUAUAUAGCAUAAUGAAUUUUCGUCCUGUACUAAAAACUGCAUUAUUUCAUUGCUUGUUUUGCUGUCUGUGUUUGAUCUUGUGCCAUGCAGGCUUGCUUGGAGGGACCAGAGUCUAAUAAAAAAACGUGGCACUGCAAUAAUGUCCUCGACAAUAAUAUUCCUUAUGUCAAUCUCUAUUUUUGAUUGCCGCGUGCUUCCUCUUUUCGGAAAUUAAGCCAAACCUUUUUAAUUUUGACCGUAAAUAUUUAAGAUUUUUAUAUGGAUUGACAAUGGCAUUAUUAGGUUCAUCAUGAAAAACACUUUCGUAGUAUGUAACUCUUUUAUUUAGAUAAUAUAUUUUUAUAGAUACUGUGGUUAAAGUGACACCUUGUAGACCAUGGCAAUGCCCUAAUAGACUUAUAUUUCCAAUGGGAGGUAGCACUGAUUUUCGGUACCUCCUAAAGUUAUAUCAGUCCGGGGUUGUAUGUGUACACCAAAGAAUACCUAAUGGCAACUUUAACUAAUGGUGUAAUAUCAAUGGAUGGUAUGUUGCACAAAUUGUUCUAAUGAUUUAUCUUGAAUCCAUGGUCGCAUAUAUGGGCCUGUUUGGUAGAGCUCCCAGCUUCUCGGCUGAACCCAGGAGGAGUUUGCCAAACAGUUUCUCGGCUGAACCCAGGAGGAGUUUUGCCAAAUAGUUUUUCAGGAUUUUAGGAAGAAGCGAAAGUGAUUCUCUGAUUCUCUGAUUUGUGAAGUGAUUCUCUAAAAUAAACUAAGUAAAAUAAACUAAGUAAUUGGGAGUUGAAAAAGUAACAUUUCUACAUAAAAUUAAUCAUACAUAAUAAUUGAGAAUCACUUUUAGACAAAUCAUUUCUCUUCCAAGAAUCAGCUUCCACUGAGAAUCAGGAGUAGGUGGAGCUUACUAAACAGGUUCUAAGCUGCUCCUGAAUGUAUGUUACAUUGAGGCAUUAACAUUUUCUUGCCGAUGCUAAACUUAUGCAUUUUGGUCAAUACAAAUAAGAGCAAGUCUUUCGGAGUGUU
This is a long non-coding RNA of Setaria italica (foxtail millet), 4514 nucleotides long. RefSeq lists it as uncharacterized. The transcript is spliced from 2 exons. Lineage: Eukaryota; Viridiplantae; Streptophyta; Magnoliopsida; Poales; Poaceae. The record is from RefSeq and is a predicted model, not a curated record.